CUAUGCGCCUUGCCAGCCCGCUCAGUCAGAGUUUGAUCCUGGCUCAGAAUGAACGCUGGCGGCAGGCCUAACACAUGCAAGUCGAACGGAGUUAUAUUGUAGCUUGCUAUGGUAUAACUUAGUGGCAGACGGGUGAGUAAUGUAUAGGAAUCUACCUAGUAGUACGGAAUAAUUGUUGGAAACGGCAACUAAUACCGUAUACGCCCUACGGGGGAAAAAUUUAUUGCUAUUAGAUGAGCCUAUAUUAGAUUAGCUAGUUGGUGGAGUAAUAGCCUACCAAGGCAAUGAUCUAUAGCUGAUCUGAGAGGACGGUCCAG
This 317-nucleotide ribosomal RNA is filed under the name uncultured bacterium. RNAcentral describes it as "partial 16S ribosomal RNA". It matches the Rfam family "Bacterial small subunit ribosomal RNA", at positions 1 to 307 of the family's 1533-position model. The record is from RNAcentral.